GAACGCUGGCGGCGUGCCUAAUACAUGCAAGUCGAGCGAACAGAUGAGGAGCUUGCUCCUCUGACGUUAGCGGCGGACGGGUGAGUAACACGUGGAUAACCUACCUAUAAGACUGGGAUAACUUCGGGAAACCGGAGCUAAUACCGGAUAAUAUAUUGAACCGCAUGGUUCAAUAGUGAAAGACGGUUUUGCUGUCACUUAUAGAUGGAUCCGCGCCGCAUUAGCUAGUUGGUAAGGUAACGGCUUACCAAGGCAACGAUGCGUAGCCGACCUGAGAGGGGGAUCGGCCACACUGGAACUGGAACACGGUACAGACUCCGACGGGAGGCAGCAGUAGGGAAUCUUCGGCAAUGGGCGAAAGCCUGACGGAGCAACGCCGCGUGAAUGAUGAAGGUCUUCGGAUCGUAAAACUCUGUUAUUAGGGAAGAACAAAUGUGUAAGUAACUAUGCACGUCUUGACGGUACCUAAUCAGAAAGCCACGGCUAACUACGUG
This 494-nucleotide ribosomal RNA is filed under the name uncultured bacterium. RNAcentral's name for it is "partial 16S ribosomal RNA". It matches the Rfam family "Bacterial small subunit ribosomal RNA", at positions 31 to 507 of the family's 1533-position model. The record is from RNAcentral.